Molecule: long non-coding RNA, 201 nt
Filed under: Carica papaya (papaya)
Lineage: Eukaryota; Viridiplantae; Streptophyta; Magnoliopsida; Brassicales; Caricaceae
Description: long non-coding RNA (CPAP_LNC002920)
Source: RNAcentral
UCACCAGGUCAGCAUUAUCAAAGUGGACGAACAAAUGGUAAAAAAAUGCUUUGACGACCAAUGAGGAAGAUUGUUCUGAGUUCGGAUUUGUUAUUGAAGAUUGUAGGACUUUGCUGGCACUUCGAGCUAAUGUAUCCUUAAGUUGGGUUCGAAGACAAGGCAACGGUAGCCCAUAACAUUGCGUAGACUGCUCGUUCCCAU